This 86-nucleotide transfer RNA is filed under the name Puniceicoccales bacterium. RNAcentral's name for it is "tRNA-Tyr". It matches the Rfam family "tRNA". Rfam says of the family: Transfer RNA (tRNA) molecules are approximately 80 nucleotides in length. Their secondary structure includes four short double-helical elements and three loops (D, anti-codon, and T loops). The record is from RNAcentral. Lineage: Bacteria; Pseudomonadati; Verrucomicrobiota; Opitutia; Puniceicoccales.
GGUGGGAUAUCCAAGUGGCUAAAGGAAGCAGACUGUAAAUCUGUCGAGGUUUCUCUUCGAGCGUUCGAAUCGCUCUCCCACCACCA